GACGAACGCUGGCGGCGUGCUUAACACAUGCAAGUCGAGCGGCAAGGCCCUUUCGGGGGUACACGAGUGGCGAACGGGUGAGUAACACGUGGGUGACCUGCCCUCAGCUCUGGGAUAAGCCUGGGAAACCGGGUCUAAUACUGGAUAUGACUCCAUGACGCAUGUUGUGGGGUGGAAAGCCUUGUGCGGCUGAGGAUGGGCCCGCGGCCUAUCAGCUUGUUGGUGGGGUGAUGGCCUACCAAGGCGACGACGGGUAGCCGGCCUGAGAGGGCGACCGGCCACACUGGGACUGAGACACGGCCCAGACUCCUACGGGAGGCAGCAGUGGGGAAUCUUGCGCAAGUGGGCGAAAGCCUGACGCAGCGACGCCGCGUGA
This 376-nucleotide ribosomal RNA is filed under the name uncultured bacterium. Its description in RNAcentral is "bacterial SSU rRNA". It matches the Rfam family "Bacterial small subunit ribosomal RNA", at positions 28 to 404 of the family's 1533-position model. The record is from RNAcentral.